This 497-nucleotide ribosomal RNA is filed under the name uncultured bacterium. RNAcentral describes it as "partial 16S ribosomal RNA". It matches the Rfam family "Bacterial small subunit ribosomal RNA", at positions 30 to 523 of the family's 1533-position model. The record is from RNAcentral.
AUUGAACGCUGGCGGCAUGCCUUACACAUGCAAGUCGAACGGUAACAGGUCUUCGGAUGCUGACGAGUGGCGAACGGGUGAGUAUACAUCGGAACGUGCCUAGUAGUGGGGGAUAACUACUCGAAAGAGUGGCUAAUACCGCAUGAGAUCUACGGAUGAAAGCAGGGGAUCGCAAGACCUUGUGCUACUAGAGCGGCCGAAGGCAGAUUAGGUAGUUGGUGGGAUAAAAGCUUACCAAGCCGACGAUCUGUAGCUGGUCUGAGAGGACGAUCAGCCACACUGGGACUGAGACACGGCCCAGACUCCUACGGGAGGCAGCAGUGGGGAAUUUUGGACAAUGGGCGAAAGCCUGAUCCAGCAAUGCCGCGUGCAGGAUGAAGGCCUUCGGGUUGUAAACUGCUUUUGUACGGAACGAAAAGUCCCGGGUUAAUACCCUGGGGUCAUGACGGUACCGUAAGAAUAAGCACCGGCUAACUACGUGCCAGCCGCCGCGGUAA